GACGUAGGGGGCCAGCGUUGUUCGGAAUUACUGGGUGUAAAGGGUUCGUAGGCGGUGUGGCAAGUCGGGUGUGAAAUCUCUGGGCUCAACCCAGAGACUGCUUCCGAAACUGCUGUGCUUGAGUGUGAGAGAGGCUCGUGGAAUUGCAGGUGUAGCGGUGAAAUGCGUAGAUAUCUGCAGGAACACCCGUGGCGAAAGCGGCGAGCUGGAUCACUACUGACGCUGAGGAACGAAAGCUAGGGGAGCAAACAGG
RNAcentral lists this ribosomal RNA (253 nucleotides) under uncultured bacterium. RNAcentral's name for it is "partial 16S ribosomal RNA". It matches the Rfam family "Bacterial small subunit ribosomal RNA", at positions 524 to 776 of the family's 1533-position model. The record is from RNAcentral.